Notothenia coriiceps (black rockcod) is the source of this 331-nucleotide long non-coding RNA. RefSeq lists it as uncharacterized. The record is from RefSeq and is a predicted model, not a curated record. NCBI's taxonomy places the organism in Eukaryota, Metazoa, Chordata, Actinopteri, Perciformes, Nototheniidae. The transcript has 3 exons.
GACAGGUUUUAGUCUGUGAAGGAAUAAUCAUAAUAUAAUAUUAAUUAUAACAUUUAUAUUAUAAUGCUAUACUUCUGUGUUCAAUGGGCUGCUGCUGGUGUAACUACAGAGGAAUUAAAGCAUGGGACCUUUUUCGAGGAAACACCCAAACAAACACCUCUGAAGUGAGAUUCAGGGUCUGGUAAUGGUCCCAGUGGAAAUGCCUCCAGCAUUGAGGCUAUCUGCUGAUCCCGACAGAGGUGUGGGCUUUGGGUUUCUUCUGGGAUAUGACUAUGAGAGGAAGAAGAAGAAACUCCAGCAGGAGCUUCAGCUGGACUACAAACAGUACGCU